RNAcentral lists this long non-coding RNA (1564 nucleotides) under Homo sapiens (human). Its description in RNAcentral is "HSALNT0121781". The record is from RNAcentral. Lineage: Eukaryota; Metazoa; Chordata; Mammalia; Primates; Hominidae.
GUGUGACCAUAUGGCUGGAGGAGGCUGGAAUUGUUUAUUUCCUUUGUUCCACAGGAAGACUAGAGCCAGCUGGAGUUGGUAAUUUUACUUCCUCCAAGUUCGUUAGGCACUGAUGAAACCCCAGCAGUUUAGGUUCUGGUUAAAUAGUUUCUCCUGAGGGCAGACUUUGUUAAGAAGAAUACAAUGCUCUGGCAUAUUUCAAAAUGGCACUUUUCCCUCCCUUGCUGUAAGCAUGGGGGCAUUUUUAAAAAUCUGCUAUUUGCUUUGAUAAACUGGUGGAGCUCUAGCAGGUAAAACUCGCAAAAGUAGGGGGCCCCUCAAUAACUGAAUCCCUCUGAAGUUUCAAACUCUCUGACUUGUCCACAUUGAGCUUCCAGCAAUUUGUUAAUUACAGUUCAGGUUUUUCCAGUUUGGCACUGGUUCCCUUGGAGGUUUCUGCUCAUGGGUUUCUGCUCUGCCAUUGCCAGGGCCAUUGUCCUGAAAACGCACAAAAUGCAGCAUGUCUGAACUGGAAGAACGUUUAGAGCUUUUUCAGUCCAACUUCUCAGAUUGGAAGUGGAACCUCAGACAAGUGUUUGGGCCAAUAAUUCAACGCAGUGUAGCAGAUAAAGGACACGAACCGAGGUUUCCAGUCCUCGGUCUUGUGAUUCCACUAAACUACUCCUAAUUGAAGAAGAGAUGGAGAGAUUAUAAAGGAUUCAUCUGCUGCUUUACAUCGACUCUGACAAUCCAACACUAAAUUGUUUCUCUGUGUAGCAGAUGCUGUUGGCACCUCACCGAGAUUUCUUCAGCACUCACAGUUCCCACGCUCUGUGCUGCUGGCUUCCUCUGGGAAGUGUCUACAACUCUUGGCCUGAGGGCUUUCAGGAGAUGCCUCUAGGAGAGGCUCUCAGCCAAUGAUGGAUAGAGAUGUUGUGCUUUAGAGUGGGACAAUUCUGAGAUGAGUUUGACACCAUCUCCCGGAUGCCCCGGGGGGACUGAGCCCCAGGUGCUUACAGCAGCAACCUGCCCAUCAAUGCAUGCUCUUUGGGCUUCAUUCUCUUUGCUGUCUCACUUCCAUACUCCCCGAGGUAGGCAGAAUAACCCCCAAAGAUGACCCUACCCUAGUCUCCAGGACUUCUGAGUCUGUUAGCUUACAUGGCAAAAGGGACUUCGAAGAUGUGAUUAAGGUUAUGGAACUUGAGACAGGGAUAUUGGAUUAUCUAGGUGGGCCCAAUCUACUGUCAUGGGUCUUGGGAAGCUGAGAAUCUUUUCUGGCUGGUGAGAGAGAUGACGGAAAAAGGGUGAGAGAGAUGCAAUGUUGUUGGCUUUGAUGAUGGAGGAAGGGGGCCAUGAGCCAGGGGAUGCAGGUGGCCUUGAGAGGCUGGAAAAGGCAAGGGCUGCCUACUCCUUCAUCCUAUCUCAGUGAGGUCAACAUUGGAUUUCUGAUCUAAGAACUGUAAAUUAAUAAAUGUGUCUUGUUUUAAGCCAGCAAAUGUGUGAUGUUUUGGCAACAAUAGAAAUUUAAUUCACUCCUCUCUUCAUUUUGGAAUUACCUGUGAAAUAAACCGUUUAUAUUCAAAGC